RNAcentral lists this transfer RNA (73 nucleotides) under Felis catus (domestic cat). It matches the Rfam family "tRNA". Rfam says of the family: Transfer RNA (tRNA) molecules are approximately 80 nucleotides in length. Their secondary structure includes four short double-helical elements and three loops (D, anti-codon, and T loops). RNAcentral also lists the same sequence under 2 other names. The record is from Rfam by way of RNAcentral. Lineage: Eukaryota; Metazoa; Chordata; Mammalia; Carnivora; Felidae.
GCCUGACUGGCUCAGUCGGUAGAGCAUGCAACUCUUGAUUUUGGUGUUGUGAGUUCGAGCCCCAUGUUGGGUG